RNAcentral lists this long non-coding RNA (461 nucleotides) under Homo sapiens (human). RNAcentral describes it as "non-protein coding lnc-CNTNAP2-5:1". Lineage: Eukaryota; Metazoa; Chordata; Mammalia; Primates; Hominidae. The record is from RNAcentral.
CGGAAGGAUCCUUAAAGAAAGCACAAUGGUAAUGCUGAAAUAUAGGAUAAAAGUUAUCUUUACAUUUUGUGAAAAGCUCAUGAGUAAGUUUAUUUAGUUGCCUAAGUAAUGGUGGAUGGGAAUGAUAACCAAGGUGACGCUGGCAUGCUAAGCGUUCGAUAGCAGGAAGGACAGUGUCUGUGUUUCAUCAGGAAAUAAGCAGGAAAAAGUGGGUAUCAAAAUAAGAAAUCUUGCUGUAACUCAAUGAAGAAAGUUCCCAUCUAAUGGCUUAGCUUUUUGUUUCUUUUAUUUUUUAAUCAAGCACUUUAUUUAAAUAAGAAUGACAUGUAAAAUAUGUGUAUCUUUUAUUUCUUGAAUAGAAAAUUUAUCGUAUGCCUCUGUUGCCCCCAACUUUCAUCAUGUAGUAAUGACCUCCAGUUGAGACAUAGCUUCAGCUGAAUUAUGUAUGGUCUUGGGCUUAA